Molecule: long non-coding RNA, 1535 nt
Organism: Protopterus annectens (West African lungfish)
Lineage: Eukaryota; Metazoa; Chordata; Ceratodontiformes; Protopteridae
Exons: 2
Source: RefSeq, a predicted model, not a curated record
UUUUGUAACAGUGAUUUUUAAAAUUAGCUGUGUUGGAGUUUGAUUUGAAGUCUUAUAUUCAUUGUUUUAUGGAUUACAACUGCAAUCGUACAGAAUAAUGACAGAGAGAAAAUACAAGUACCACUGACAUUACAUGCGGGAUGGCACCCACUAAAGUGGUAGGGAAAGUGUUAUUUUGCACACUAGUCAGUGAGCACCUUACUAAACAUUCAUGCAGAGUAAAGCAACCUGUAUACCACCAGGCAAUGUGUUCAUGUAUUCAGGGCAUAGGCACAACCUGUAUACCACCAGGCAAUGUGUUCAUGUAUUCAGGGCAUAGGCACAACCUGUAUACCACCAGGCAAUGUGUUCAUGUAUUCAUGGUAUAGGCACAACCUGUAUACCACCAGGCAAUGUGUUCAUGUAUUCAUGGCAUAGGUACAACCUGUAUACCACCAGGCAAUGUGUUCAUGUAUUCAUGGCAUAGGCAUCCAGGGUGGUAGGAUCAGGUCCACAGAAGAUGUCACUUAUGGAGUGCAGGCUGCAAUAUGCCAUGAUCACAGUCUUCAUGGAUCGCACAUUUAUCUUUCAGGUGUAUGUAAAUAAUGUGCACAGAGACUUUCCAAACUGGAGUAACUUUGUCGGUGACAGGUAACUUGUAAUUUUUGCCAGGGCUGUUAUCAGGUAUUACAGCUACACCUCCUACACUUUUCACAUUAUCACACACAUAAAUGUUCAUAAUUCAGCCUUCUUUUGUAGUCAGUGUGAUAUGGCCAGUUUCACUGAAAAGAUAUUCCACUUUAAAUGAUCUGUGGAAUAAAAAUGAACUCACUGCAUGUAAAGAUACAAGUAAAAGUAUUCCUGCAACAGUUUUGUAAAAUGGUUUGAGGAUGGAUCUUUCAUUCUUCCCCUUGCCCAAAAUAAAGGAUGCACUAUGUGCCUGUAUUACAACUAAUAUUGAUGACAAAGACAACAGGUCUGCAGUUUUACAGGCGGAUUGCUAAGGUCUACAUCAAUGUUCAUUUAUGUUUUCAUACAAUGCUUGUCAAGAUGAAAAUAAAUCUUUAUUGAAGUCCAAACUACAAUGAAAGCAAAUACAAAUUAUAAUUCAAUUGUCAGUAAUAUAAUAUUACAAAAAUGAUAGGUAAAUGAUUUAUUUUUACUGACAAAUACUGAUGCUUCAGAUAGGAAUGUUGCUCAAAUUCUAAAAUAUUAUAAUCUUGUUUGCUGCUACAAAAAUUAUGAAGGAAUAUAAGCAAGCUUAAACAUCUUUUUAAUAUAGUUUUUUUAAAUAUGUCACUGAGAGUUCCUGUAGCUAUUAGUCAUCAUUUAGUAACUUUAGAGAGAUUUAAUGGGAGCUGGGAUCAAAAAAAGAUUUGAAGGUUAGGAAAGCUCUACAAUGGUCAUUUGUACACCACAAACAAUGCAACUAACUCCCAUCACAGCAUGCAAAGAUAAAGCUGCUGCCUCCAAGUAUCAGUGCUUAACAUCCCUUAGGUGUGUAUGUGACCAGUUCAGAAAUGCAGCAUUCCUUAGGUGUAUAUGUGACCAGUUCA